This 253-nucleotide ribosomal RNA is filed under the name uncultured bacterium. Its description in RNAcentral is "partial 16S ribosomal RNA". It matches the Rfam family "Bacterial small subunit ribosomal RNA", at positions 524 to 776 of the family's 1533-position model. The record is from RNAcentral.
UACAGAGGUCUCAAGCGUUGUUCGGAUUCAUUGGGCGUAAAGGGUGCGUAGGUGGCGAGGUAAGUUGGAUGUGAAAUCCUGGGGCUCAACCCUAGAACUGCAUUCAAUACUGCCUUGCUAGAGUACUGGAGAGGAGAUUGGAAUUUACGGUGUAGCAGUGAAAUGCGUAGAUAUCGUAAGGAAGACCAGUGGCGAAGGCGGAUCUCUGGACAGUUACUGACACUGAGGCACGAAGGCCAGGGGAGCAAACGGG